UCAUAUGCUUGUCUCAAAGAUUAAGCCAUGCAUGUCUAAGUACAAGCCUCACUAAGGUGAAACCGCGAAUGGCUCAUUAAAUCACACCUAAUCUACUGGAUAGUACAAGUUACUUGGAUAACUGCGGUAAUUCUGGAGCUAAUACAUGCACAAAGCCUCGAACUUACGUGAGAGGCGCUUUUAUUAGAUCAAAACCAAACGGCUUCGGCUGUAUUCUUGGUGACUCUGAAUAACUUUGGGCUGAUCGCAUAGCCUUGCGCUGGCGACAUAUCCUUCGAAGGUGUGCCCUAUCAACUGUCGACUGUGGCAUAGACGCCCACAGUGGUUUUGACGGGUAACGGGGAAUCAGGGUUCGAUUCCGGAGAGGGAGACCU
Molecule: ribosomal RNA, 374 nt
Filed under: Elenacalanus princeps
Lineage: Eukaryota; Metazoa; Arthropoda; Copepoda; Calanoida; Megacalanidae
Description: SSU rRNA
Rfam family: Eukaryotic small subunit ribosomal RNA
Source: RNAcentral